GGUCUUAUAGUUUAAUAAAAACAUUAAAUUGCAAAUUUGAUAAUGAUUUAUGUAUCUAAGACUU
Molecule: transfer RNA, 64 nt
Filed under: Scaphoideus maai
Lineage: Eukaryota; Metazoa; Arthropoda; Insecta; Hemiptera; Cicadellidae
Description: tRNA-Cys
Rfam family: tRNA
About the family: Transfer RNA (tRNA) molecules are approximately 80 nucleotides in length. Their secondary structure includes four short double-helical elements and three loops (D, anti-codon, and T loops).
Source: RNAcentral